GAUGAACGCUGGCGGCGUGCCUAAUACAUGCAAGUCGAGCGAACAGACGAGGAGCUUGCUCCUCUGACGUUAGCGGCGGACGGGUGAGUAACACGUGGAUAACCUACCUAUAAGACUGGGAUAACUUCGGGAAACCGGAGCUAAUACCGGAUAAUAUAUUGAACCGCAUGGUUCAAUAGUGAAAGACGGUUUUGCUGUCACUUAUAGAUGGAUCCGCGCCGCAUUAGCUAGUUGGUAAGGUAACGGCUUACCAAGGCAACGAUGCGUAGCCGACCUGAGAGGGUGAUCGGCCACACUGGAACUGAGACACGGUCCAGACUCCUACGGGAGGCAGCAGUAGGGAAUCUUCCGCAGUGGGCGAAAGCCUGACGGAGCAACGCCGCGUGAGUGAUGAAGGUCUUCGGAUCGUAAAACUCUGUUAUUAGGGAAGAACAAAUGUGUAAGUAACUAUGCUCGUCUUGACGGUACCUAAGCAGAAAGCCACGGCUAACUACGU
This 496-nucleotide ribosomal RNA is filed under the name uncultured bacterium. RNAcentral's name for it is "partial 16S ribosomal RNA". It matches the Rfam family "Bacterial small subunit ribosomal RNA", at positions 28 to 506 of the family's 1533-position model. The record is from RNAcentral.